GGGGACCCGCAAGCGGUGGAUUAUGUGGAUUAAUUCGAUGCAACGCGAAAAACCUUACCUACCCUUGACAUGCCAGGAACCUCGCAGAGAUGUGAGGGUGCCCGAAAGGGAACCUGGACACAGGUGCUGCAUGGCUGUCGUCAGCUCGUGUCGUGAGAUGUUGGGUUAAGUCCCGCAACGAGCGCAACCCUUGCCAUUAGUUGCUACAUUUAGUUGAGCACUCUAAUGGGACUGCCGGUGACAAACCGGAGGAAGGUGGGGAUGACGUCAAGUCCUCAUGGCCCUUAUGGGUAGGGCUUCACACGUAAUACAAUGGCCGGUACAGAGGGCAGCCAACUCGCGAGAGGGAGCUAAUCCCAGAAAGCCGGUCGUAGUCCGGAUUGCAGUCUGCAACUCGACUGCAUGAAGCCGGAAUCGCUAGUAAUCGCGGAUCAGCAUGUCGCGGUGAAUACGUUCCCGGGUCUUGUACACACC
This 474-nucleotide ribosomal RNA is filed under the name uncultured bacterium. Its description in RNAcentral is "bacterial SSU rRNA". It matches the Rfam family "Bacterial small subunit ribosomal RNA", at positions 915 to 1391 of the family's 1533-position model. The record is from RNAcentral.